Molecule: ribosomal RNA, 253 nt
Filed under: uncultured bacterium
Lineage: Bacteria
Description: partial 16S ribosomal RNA
Rfam family: Bacterial small subunit ribosomal RNA
Source: RNAcentral
UACGUAGGUGGCAAGCGUUAUCCGGAUUUAUUGGGUUUAAAGGGUGCGUAGGCGGAUUAGUAAGUCAGUGGUGAAAGCCCGUCGCUUAACGGCGGAACUGCCAUUGAUACUGCUAGUCUUGAGUAUGGUUGAGGUGGGCGGAAUGUGUCAUGUAGCGGUGAAAUGCUUAGAUAUGACCCAGAACACCAAUUGCGAAGGCAGCUCGCUAAGCCAUAACUGACGCUGAGGCACGAAAGCGUGGGGAGCAAACAGG